GAAAAUCAGCCACACUAUAAAUGGGAAAAAGAGAAAUGGGGUUUCAUUGAGACAUGGGAGACAGGGAGAGGGCCUCAGCAAAGGCAGAUCCAUGGGAAGAGUUUAGUGUUGAAGAUUUCUUUGGAAGGAGCAACUCAUUCUGGAGUACGAAGAAGCAAGAAUCAUCUUUGAAUAAACCCAGCAAAAGAAUGCCACUGAAGAAAUAUUUGGUGUGAUAUUGAGAGGACCAGCUAAGUCCAGACUUCCAGUCAUCCCUCCCAAGAAAGAAGACACAUGAGUGAAGCCAUCCAUUAGGGCUUAUGAAAUCUGAUCAGAU
Choloepus didactylus (southern two-toed sloth) is the source of this 316-nucleotide long non-coding RNA. RefSeq lists it as uncharacterized. Lineage: Eukaryota; Metazoa; Chordata; Mammalia; Pilosa; Megalonychidae. The record is from RefSeq and is a predicted model, not a curated record. The transcript is spliced from 3 exons.